RNAcentral lists this ribosomal RNA (425 nucleotides) under uncultured bacterium. Its description in RNAcentral is "partial 16S ribosomal RNA". It matches the Rfam family "Bacterial small subunit ribosomal RNA", at positions 354 to 796 of the family's 1533-position model. The record is from RNAcentral.
GUGGGGAAUAUUGGGCAAUGGGCGAAAGCCUGACCCAGCAACGCCGCGUGAAGGAAGAAGGUUUUCGGAUCGUAAACUUCUAUCCUUGGUGAAGAUAAUGACGGUAGCCAAGAAGGAAGCCCCGGCUAACUACGUGCCAGCAGCCGCGGUAAUACGUAGGGGGCAAGCGUUGUCCGGAAUGAUUGGGCGUAAAGGGCGCGUAGGCGGCCCGGUAAGUCUGAAGUGAGAGUCCUGCUUUUAAGGUGGGAAUUGCUUUGGAUACUGUCGGGCUUGAGUGCAGGAGAGGUAAGCGGAAGUCCCGGUGUAGCGGUGAAAUGCGUAGAGAUCGGGAGGAACACCAGUGGCGAAGGCGGCUUACUGGACUGUAACUGACGCUGAGGCGCGAAAGUGUGGGGAGCAAACAGGAUUAGAUACCCUGGUAGUCC